This 460-nucleotide ribosomal RNA is filed under the name uncultured bacterium. Its description in RNAcentral is "partial 16S ribosomal RNA". It matches the Rfam family "Bacterial small subunit ribosomal RNA", at positions 338 to 795 of the family's 1533-position model. The record is from RNAcentral.
CCUACGGGAGGCUGCAGUGAGGAAUAUUGGUCAAUGGGCGGGAGCCUGAACCAGCCAAGUCGCGUGAGGGAAGACGGUCCUAUGGAUUGUAAACCUCUUUAGGCGGGGAGCAAUGCCGGGCACGCGUGCCCGGAUGGAGAGUACCCGCAGAAUAAGCAUCGGCUAACUCCGUGCCAGCAGCCGCGGUAAUACGGAGGAUGCGAGCGUUAUCCGGAUUGAUUGGGUUGAAAGGGUGCGUAGGCGGAUUUUUAAGUCAGCGGUAAAAUGUCCGGGCUCAACCCGGGCCGGCGGUUGAAACUGGGGAUCUUGAGUGGGCGAGAAGUAUGCGGAAUGCGUGGUGUAGCGGUGAAAUGCAUAGAUAUCACGCAGAACUCCGAUUGCGAAGGCAGCAUACCGGCGCCCGACUGACGCUGAGGCACGAAAGCGUGGGGAUCGAACAGGAUUAGAUACCCUGGUAGUC